GACGAACGCUGGCGGCGUGCUUAACACAUGCAAGUCGAACGGAAAGGCCCUGCUUUCGUGGGGUGCUCGAGUGGCGAACGGGUGAGUAACACGUGAGUAACCUGCCCUUGACUUUGGGAUAACUUCAGGAAACUGGGGCUAAUACCGGAUAGGAGCUCCUGCUGCAUGGUGGGGGUUGGAAAGUUUCGGCGGUUGGGGAUGGACUCGCGGCUUAUCAGCUUGUUGGUGGGGUAGUGGCUUACCAAGGCUUUGACGGGUAGCCGGCCUGAGAGGGUGACCGGCCACAUUGGGACUGAGAUACGGCCCAGACUCCUACGGGAGGCAGCAGUGGGGAAUAUUGCACAGUGGGCGGAAGCCUGAUGCAGCAACGCCGCGUGCGGGAUGACGGCCUUCGGGUUGUAAACCGCUUUCGCCUGUGACGAAGCGUGAGUGACGGUAAUGGGUAAAGAAGCACCGGCUAACUACGUG
Molecule: ribosomal RNA, 468 nt
Filed under: uncultured bacterium
Lineage: Bacteria
Description: partial 16S ribosomal RNA
Rfam family: Bacterial small subunit ribosomal RNA
Source: RNAcentral